This 242-nucleotide ribosomal RNA is filed under the name uncultured Actinomycetales bacterium. Its description in RNAcentral is "partial 16S ribosomal RNA". It matches the Rfam family "Bacterial small subunit ribosomal RNA", at positions 88 to 334 of the family's 1533-position model. Lineage: Bacteria; Bacillati; Actinomycetota; Actinomycetes; Actinomycetales. The record is from RNAcentral.
UACUCGAGUGGCGAACGGGUGAGUAACACGUGGGUGAUCUGCCCUGCACUUCGGGAUAAGCCUGGGAAACUGGGUCUAAUACCGGAUAGGACGAUGGUUUGGAUGCCAUUGUGGAAAGUUUUUCGGUGUGGGAUGAGCUCGCGGCCUAUCAGCUUGUUGGUGGGGUAAUGGCCUACCAAGGCGUCGACGGGUAGCCGGCCUGAGAGGGUGUACGGCAACAUUGGGAUUGAGAUACGGCCCAG